Molecule: long non-coding RNA, 247 nt
Filed under: Erythranthe guttata (spotted monkey flower)
Lineage: Eukaryota; Viridiplantae; Streptophyta; Magnoliopsida; Lamiales; Phrymaceae
Description: long non-coding RNA (EGUT_LNC001692)
Source: RNAcentral
AUUCCUUGGCCAAAAUUCAGUUGAACGCAGAAUCAAGGGAGGGAGUGCCUGAAUUUGAUUAUUCCAUUUCAAUUUUUUUAAUUUUUGAGGUAAUUUCGAGCUAUAUUUUCUGUUUAUUUAUCAUAAAAAUUCAACCUUUUCUGUUUAUUUAAAUGUGUUCAUGUAUGCGCCUUUUGAGCUAAACCCCACUUCUCAAGAACACCUCAGAUAUUUAUCCUUUACGAUUUAGCUUCUGUGUUUGUUUUUU